AUGUAUAAAUGUAUACACAC
This 20-nucleotide microRNA is filed under the name Macaca mulatta (Rhesus monkey). RNAcentral's name for it is "mml-miR-568". Its record names the gene mml-miR-568. RNAcentral also lists the same sequence under 8 other names. Lineage: Eukaryota; Metazoa; Chordata; Mammalia; Primates; Cercopithecidae. The record is from miRBase by way of RNAcentral.